AUCUAUGGCUGUACCACCCUGAACACGUCCAAUCUUGUUUGAUCUUGGAAGCUAAGCAGGGUUGGGCCUGGUUAGUACUUGGAUGGAAGAAAUGAGAUAUUUUAUGUA
This 108-nucleotide ribosomal RNA is filed under the name Propithecus coquereli (Coquerel's sifaka). The record is from RNAcentral. Lineage: Eukaryota; Metazoa; Chordata; Mammalia; Primates; Indriidae.